Long non-coding RNA from Pezoporus occidentalis (night parrot), 855 nucleotides. RefSeq lists it as uncharacterized. NCBI's taxonomy places the organism in Eukaryota, Metazoa, Chordata, Aves, Psittaciformes, Psittacidae. The record is from RefSeq and is a predicted model, not a curated record. The transcript is spliced from 2 exons.
GGCACAGUGGAACUAAGGAGCUCAUGGUAAGUCACUUGAACAACUCGGAUCCUGGAAAUUGCCUCUGAGUUCAGGACCAACAGCUAAGAGUGUCUAAGGGCUCUGUCUGUGCUCAUUCAAAUCAGUCUCCAGGAGCUCUCUUCCAAAGCUUGGACUAACAGUGCCUGAAUCUGCUGAGCUCUGGAACAAACUGCCAUGAGUUUUCCCAGAUUCCGACAUGGGAACAAGUGAGGAGAUGGGGAUGAGGCCAUGUGGGUGAUAUAUGCUGUUUAAUCCUGCUAUUUACCAUGAUAAGAGUUUAAACAAAAUGACCAAAGACUUCUACUAGAGGUGCUUCCAACAGGCUCCUAUGCAAUGCAUAGAGAGGCUCUUUAGAGGCAAAAGCAAAUAAAUACUUGGCUGGAAAUGCAGCUUUCAUCACUGAUGAACUUCUGAUUUUGUUUGUUUUUCCAUUAAUGCAGACUGGGGUUCGAUCCUCUGUUCCCAUCACAGAGAAGGAAAGUGAAUUUGAGUCAGCCACUGCCGUAGCAGAAAGGAAAGAAAUGAACCCAAGAAGAUCAGGAUUGUGUGCCAGCACACUGCUGCAGUGAAAGGUGUAUCAGGAGUCUGGGAGUAACAGCAAAAUUGCCUCAAAGCUUUUCCCCAAAGUUAGCCAAUUGAGUGAAUGAGUGCUUGUCAAAAAUGAAAAUGUUCAUCCAAGACAACCCUCCUGCAGAUGAUGCUUUAUAUUCCUCUGUGUGGGGACAUGCACUUUUCUUACUGUGUGUAAAGGAUUCAGAUGGAAGUUACAUUUUCUGGUAAUAUAUGAGGAGCCUGUUAAUCUUGGCAGAUAAGAACUCAAUGCAUUUCAUCUAC